RNAcentral lists this ribosomal RNA (253 nucleotides) under uncultured bacterium. Its description in RNAcentral is "partial 16S ribosomal RNA". It matches the Rfam family "Bacterial small subunit ribosomal RNA", at positions 524 to 776 of the family's 1533-position model. The record is from RNAcentral.
UACAGAGGAGCCGAGCGUUGUCCGGAUUUAUUGGGCGUAAAGAGCUCGUAGGCGGCUUGUCGCGUCGUUCGUGAAAACCCGGGGCUCAACUCCGGGCUUGCGGGCGAUACGGGCAGGCUAGAGUUCGGUAGGGGAGACUGGAAUUCCUGGUGUAGCGGUGAAAUGCGCAGAUAUCAGGAGGAACACCGGUGGCGAAGGCGGGUCUCUGGGCCGAUACUGACGCUGAGGAGCGAAAGCGUGGGGAGCGAACAGG